CUCAAACAGCGUAAUGUGUGGAUCAGAUCGGGGAGGCUGGCGCUCAGUUGGGGAAGAGUUGGACUCGGACGGAAGUGAUGAGAGCAAAAUAAGCCACUGGGCACACUUUAAAGAAAUCGACAGGACAGUGAAUCCUGCUGUUUGACAAGCAGUAGGUGAUGGACGAUGUUUCACUUUGGGACCCCUUAUGUGACUCGGUGAAGAUCGUUUCCAUCAGGUGCUGAGAGAAGAUGAAAGACUGGAGGUUCCUCUGAUUAAUGUGGUGGUAAUGAAAUAAAGCAACUCCUCUCAGUUUAUGUUCCAGGUUUAAGUCAUGAACUGUGAAUAAAGAUGGACAACGUAUAUCUUCACCUCCUCCUGUUGUACAAGAGUAAAGCCAAAAUACCCCUGACGACAUGCACUGAUGAUGUUAUGUGGGGCCCGAGUUGCGCAGUUCAGACUUUAGCGCAGUGCGGUUUUAACAUCCGACUUUCUGCAAACCAAAAUACACAUUUAACUUACCAAUAAUAUGUCAGAGAUCCCUCAUGUCGGUACAGGACACAGCAGAAUUGUUUCUUCUUCUGGUUUGUAUCAUACACUCACAUUUAUGAAAAGUUAAAUGUUAGUUAUUCAUGUUUCCUCUCGCCGUUCCUCCUCUACUCUGCUAAUUUACUGCUAACCUUGGAGAAAAUCAUAAUUGACUUAUAUAUGGAUUUUGUGUGACCCAUGUCCAUGCUGAUAAAAUAGAGGUGACAGAGCUCAUGAUCUAUACUGAAGCCAGUGAGCAAGGGGAGCUCCAAAUGUUUUGGCUUCACUUUUGGAGAGCUGUAAUGUUGUCCAUCUUUUUACACAGUCAGUAGUUGAAACACGCAAUAUGGUCAUGCACAACAUAAGCAGAGCUGUUUGUCCUGCAGACAGUGGAGUCACUGUCCUAUGUCAUCAAGUCCCAGUGGUCCAAGAAAUGCCCUCCACUGUCCUCCCUUCUUCCUCGCCUUGCCUUGUCCAUCAUCUCCCGGUCGUAGCCCCAUGUCCUUGCUUGCCUCGGUGAACAUUCAACGCUGUCGGUGAGUUUGUUUUGGAUCACAAAAAACCAUCGACCGUUGACUGUGCCCCGUGGCUUGCUCUGACGACGUCAGAAAAAGAGCAAAAGGGCAAGUGAGCACAUGCAAAUCCAUAGGCGAAGAAUCACACAUGCAGGAAAAGUGACGUUCUGUUUCCACUGUACCCAAAAGACCAAAAGGUCACAAUCAACAUUCAUUGCUGUCGCUGGGUUGGACUGUGUAGAAAAGCUCACUGAACAAUGAGUGCAACUGUGGCCCAGAUCUUCCUGACUCGUGUCUCAGCCAAUCAGCCGACCGGAUGUGAAGCACUCUGAUUUCUUUAUUUAUAUACUUCUUGUUUUUCUCUUCUAUUUUCUCCUCUCUUCCUCCCUCCCUGGUGCUGGGAGUCUUCAGGGGAAAGAGAGAGAGAACGAGAGAAGAAGAGGGAGAGAGAGAGAGAGAGAGACACAAAUAGACUUCUGGCUGCUUUGCUUGUCCUCAUCCUCCUCUUUUCUCCUCUAAUUGGUGGUUAUGUGUGCAGCAAGGGGGAAGGAAGCGGAGUGAAUGUGUAAUCAUUUGGAGUCUCUUCUCCUUCAGAUGUUUCAUCCCUCUCUUUUUUGUUUGUCUAAUUAUACACCCAGCUCGGUUAACUCUGUGUUAACUGUGCCGGCAAGAAUAAGCGAGUGACAGAGAGAGGGAGCACGAGGGGAACAAAAAAAAAAAGGCGGAAAGAUGAUUGAGAUUUAAAAAUGUUUUCCAAUAUAUUCUCCCUCGGUGCUGCUGCAAGCUGGCUAGGAUAUAAGGUAUUCUCAAAGACCAGAGUUUGUCUCAUUAUCUGUGUGUGAACUUUGGGAGAGUGUGUUUGUGUGCACGUACGGCCAUGACGGAGGGCCUGUCUGCUGAUCACAGGAUGCAAUAUAUUAUUUUCUUUCUGUACUGAAGCAGACUCCUCCCUCAUGGGAAAACACACAUUCUAUAACCUUGUCUGCCUUCAGACAGUCUGGUACCGGCCUUACUGAUGACAUUUCUCAUUGUACUCGUGUGUUACAACAGUGUGUCCUGAGUCUGAAACACAUGCAGACAGAGAUCACACUGCUCUUGUGGAUUUGUAAAUGUUUAUGGAGUUUUAAUGACAGAAUCGUUCAUUAAAUCAAUAAAGUUUAAACAAAUCCA
Molecule: long non-coding RNA, 2192 nt
Organism: Labrus mixtus (cuckoo wrasse)
Lineage: Eukaryota; Metazoa; Chordata; Actinopteri; Labriformes; Labridae
Exons: 3
Source: RefSeq, a predicted model, not a curated record